Molecule: ribosomal RNA, 506 nt
Filed under: uncultured bacterium
Lineage: Bacteria
Description: partial 16S ribosomal RNA
Rfam family: Bacterial small subunit ribosomal RNA
Source: RNAcentral
AGUGAACGCUGGCGGUAGGCCUAACACAUGCAAGUCGAACGGCGGCACAGGAGAGCUUGCUCUCUGGGUGGCGAGUGGCGGACGGGUGAGGAAUACAUCGGAAUCUACUCUGUCGUGGGGGAUAACGUAGGGAAACUUACGCUAAUACCUCAUACGACCUACGGGUGAAAGCAGGGGACCUUCGGGCCUUGCGCGAUUGAAUGAGCCGAUGUCGGAUUAGCUAGUUGGCGGGGUAAAGGCCCACCAAGGCGACGAUCCGUAGCUGGUCUGAGAGGAUGAUCAGCCACACUGGAACUGAGACACGGUCCAGACUCCUACGGGAGGCAGCAGUGGGGAAUAUUGGACAAUGGGCGCAAGCCUGAUCCAGCCAUACCGCGUGGGUGAAGAAGGCCUUCGGGUUGUGAAGCCCUUUUGUUGGGAAAGAAAUCCAGCUGGCUAAUACCCGGUUGGGAUGACGGUACCCAAAGAAUAAGCACCGGCUAACUUCGUGCCAGCCGCCGCCGUAA